RNAcentral lists this ribosomal RNA (757 nucleotides) under uncultured bacterium. RNAcentral describes it as "bacterial SSU rRNA". It matches the Rfam family "Bacterial small subunit ribosomal RNA", at positions 1 to 805 of the family's 1533-position model. The record is from RNAcentral.
CCUUAGAGUUUGAUCCUGGCUCAGAGCGAACGCUGGCGGCAGGCUUAACACAUGCAAGUCGAGCGGGCGUAGCAAUACGUCAGCGGCAGACGGGUGAGUAACGCGUGGGAACGUACCUUUUGGUUCGGAACAACACAGGGAAACUUGUGCUAAUACCGGAUAACCCCUUACGGGGAAAGAUUUAUCGCCGAAAGAUCGGCCCGCGUCUGAUUAGCUAGUUGGUGAGGUAACGGCUCACCAAGGCGACGAUCAGUAGCUGGUCUGAGAGGAUGAUCAGCCACAUUGGGACUGAGACACGGCCCAAACUCCUACGGGAGGCAGCAGUGGGGAAUAUUGGACAAUGGGGGCAACCCUGAUCCAGCCAUGCCGCGUGAGUGAUGAAGGCCCUAGGGUUGUAAAGCUCUUUUGUGCGGGAAGAUAAUGACGGUACCGCAAGAAUAAGCCCCGGCUAACUUCGUGCCAGCAGCCGCGGUAAUACGAAGGGGGCUAGCGUUGCUCGGAAUCACUGGGCGUAAAGGGUGCGUAGGCGGAUCUUUAAGUCAGGGGUGAAAGCCUGGAGCUCAACUCCAGAACUGCCUUUGAUACUGGGGAUCUUGAGUUCGGGAGAGGUGAGUGGAACUGCGGGUGUAGAGGUGAAAUUCGUAGAUAUUCGCAAGAACACCAGUGGCGAAGGCGGCUCACUGGCCCGAUACUGACGCUGAGGCACGAAAGCGUGGGGAGCAAACAGGAUUAGAUACCCUGGUAGUCCACGCCGUAA